RNAcentral lists this long non-coding RNA (2510 nucleotides) under Marmota monax (woodchuck). Lineage: Eukaryota; Metazoa; Chordata; Mammalia; Rodentia; Sciuridae. The record is from RNAcentral.
CUUAAAUUGAGCUGAGGAUAUUUUUUUCCUUCCCUCUCUCUCUCCCUCUCUCCCUCUCUCUCUCUUUCGCAUUCUCUCUCUCCGCUAUUAGCAGCCACACGGACCCAGUGCGUGGACUGGCAUCGCACCGGGAGGAAUUCGUAUUUGGCCAGGAAUCCGGACUCGGAGCAUCCCAGGAGGCGCGGGUCAGGGGAUCCAGAGCCACCCCGGAAAAUGCUGCCGCUCCCUACCAGCUGCCAGGGCCUCGGAGGCCUUCCCGGUGUCUGGAGAAGUGACCGGGAAACUUUGGGGGAAACUUUGCCAACUUCGCUCUCUUGCACGGGAGAGGCCGCCCACCGGAAUGGCCGCAGCGGCAGCGGGUCGCGAAGCGCCGGGUGGGCCCCGGGCCAGGCCUACGCUCUCCCCAGCGGCCAGGCCGCCCAAAGAGAGGAGGGAGGCCGGCCACCGGGUCUCCUGCGGCUCUGCUCCGCCCCCGAGCCACCCGACCGGCCCACUCCCCUGGGUCUCGGCGAGGCCCGCGAUGUGCAGCGCCCCAGACGAUGGCCGAUGGCCUAGAUCGAAAACCCCGGACCUUAGCGUGAAUAAUUUUAUUUUUCUUUCCCUCUUCAGGAUCGACUGUUUUCCCACCUGCAGUUUCGCUUCCCUCCCUUCCUUUGUGUUCCUCCGUCUCUCGCACUGUCUGGAUAUUUGAUUUCUAGGUCAUUCUUUUGGUCUUUCUUCGGCUCCCUAAUUUGUUCGGUUUUAUACUUUUUCUCAGGGCCACUUAGUUGGCCUCUCUCCAUCCGGCUCCGGCUCUCUCCUCUUUUGUCCCUGCUUCCCUCUCCUGGUGAUGGUGUCCCCCCCACACCUGCGUUUGACCAUCUUUCUUUUCUCCGUCUUUCACCCUAACCCUCCCCUAGUUCCUUCCUCAAUUUCUCGGUCCCUGUCGGGUUCUCCUCUCGGUGUCUGUCCCUUCUUCUCUCCCUCUCCAGGAUCUGUCCCCUCCUUUCUCCUCCUCUCAGCGGCUGCCUCCCUGGCGCCCCCUCCUCGUCUUCUCGGGAGAUGAAUAUGUCGCCUUAUUGGAUACCGAGGCCAGAGCCGGGUGACGGGGCUCGGUGAGAAUCGCGCAUUUUCUUCCUGCAUAUUGAGGCUAUGGUAAUGAGCACGUUUGCAUUGUUGCGUGGCGCUGCUUUUCCUGCCGCAGUUUGGAGUGGGCGAGGGUGGUGCGGACCCCAAAGAGCCCCGCUGUGGGUACCGGCCCUGGCGGCGGCAGCUGUCCCCUGGCGCUCGGGGCCCUGGGGAGGAAGUGACCUCGCCGAGCGCGGGGCCCGGCCUUCGCCGGCUUGGCCACAAAGGCGGGCCCUGCUCCCCUCAUUAUAGCCUCGUUAUGGGAACCCCCGCCUGGCUCGCCGUGGCUCCUCCGCGCUCUCCGCCCAGCGGCCUCUGAGCCCCUCCCCUGGCGUUUAGAGGCCUGUGAUGGAGCGCCACCGGGAAAUUAGCGCCUGACAACGUCGUCUAUUGGCAAUAAAUUGUUUGCAAUUCCGGGUGACACAUCGCGGGAUCAAACACAGCCUCAACCUGUAGGUGCUCCGCUCGUUCCUCUUCUUAGAGGGCGCAUUGGCGUGGCUUGACCAGGGAUGGUGCUCCCAGGACCCUUCUGGGGUCGGGAGCCGGUUCCAUUCUGGGCUUCUCCCCAACAGAGCCAGACUCGGUCUCCAAGAGCAGAGGUCCUUCCCUGAGGUUGGCCGAACUCGGGACCCUUGACCCAGGUGCACCUCCCAAAGUGAAGGUUUAUCAGAGCCAAGGCGCAAACUGAGCUGAGACCAAGGGAACCGACGUGAGUUGCUGAGAAAAUCCGAAGCUAAGAGCCUGGUUCUAGACACUGUCGCGCAGAGGACCCUGGACAGGAAGCGUUUGCUCUAACCCCGUGUUCCUUCCUGCUCCCUGUCAGGGGAGUCAGAGUUCCCGGUUCCAAAGAAAAACCGUAAAGGUCUGACCUUGCCUGGAAUUGCCUGAGGUCAAGUUUCCCCAACUUCAAAUUUUUGCUACCACCUCUACUCUAUUGACUUAACAUUUUUCCUUAAAUCAGGUCAUUUUAAAAACUCAAAUAUGUAUUUUUUGGAUGAAGAGUUGAUACUACUAUUGGUAUGACUGUAAAAAAAAUUAAAAUAAUAAAAGGAGCUGUUAGUCACCAGAAAAGGAAAUUGUAGAAGAUAAAGAGCUAAAAAUCAAGCACUAUUCAUACAUUUUGCCCAGACUUGCUUGGGAAAGACUUCUAGGGGUUCAAGAGCAUGUAUGUAUCAUUAGCAAGUGCUGAGGUGUAAAAUAGUGAAUCUUUCUAGGAAGAAACGAGAACAUUGAAAAGGGGAUACUUCUUACCCUUCAGUACUCAUUUAAUUCUCUGCCCUCACUAUCUCAAGUCAUAUUGGGGUUCCCAAGAGCAGCCCUGCUUUGGGAUUUGCCUGUAUUAUUCUGUUGAAGAUUGUGUAAAUAAAUUAAGAUUAAAGCAUAACAUACUGAGUUAUUAUUAU